RNAcentral lists this ribosomal RNA (556 nucleotides) under uncultured archaeon. RNAcentral's name for it is "bacterial SSU rRNA". It matches the Rfam family "Archaeal small subunit ribosomal RNA", at positions 6 to 568 of the family's 1478-position model. The record is from RNAcentral.
GGUUGAUCCUGCCGGACCUGACUGCUAUCUGAUUGGUACUAAGCCAUGCGAGUCGUUGUACAAUACAAGGCGGACUGCUCAGUAACACGUAGUUAACUUAACCUAUGGAUGGGCACAACCUCGGGAAACUGAGAAUAAUACCCAAUGGACCACAGUGCCUGGAAUGGCCUGUGGUUGAAAUGAUUUAUCGCCGUAGGAUAGGACUGCGGCCUAUCAGCUUGUUGGUGAGGUAAUGGCCCACCAAGGCUAUAACAGGUACGGGCUCUGAGAGGAGGGGCCCGGAGAUGGGUACUGAGACACGGACCCAGGCCCUAUGGGGCGCAGCAGGCGAGAAACCUUUGCAAUGUGCGAAAGCACGACAAGGUUAAUCCGAGUGUCUCCUGCUAAAGGAGUCUUUUGUCAGUUGUAGAAUCACUGGUGAAUAAGGGGUGGGCAAGUUCUGGUGUCAGCCGCCGCGGUANAACCAGCACCUCGAGUGGUCAGGAGGUUUAUUGGGCCUAAAGCAUCCGUAGCCGGUUGCCUAAGUUUCCGGUUAAAUCUAUGCGCUUAACGUAUA